ACGUGGAAGGAAUGCUGUAUUUUAUCGUGGCCUACCCUCACUGCUAGAACUGUUGUUGAUGGACCGAGUACACUUGACACAAACUCAAGACAUGUCUUUACUCCUUAUUAUUAAUGAGUAUUUCCUUUCUGAUUUACUAUGCUUUCUGAUUUACUAUGGGUACAUUCUGCUAAUAUUAAUGAUAUCGGUUAAUACCUUCCUCCCAUAUAAAGUCAGAGAAGCUCAUUGCAGCUUGUUAUCUGAUAUGAUUGAGGAUUUCUGAAUUGUGUCUUUUUCAAGCAGCCAUUUCUGAGGGUGGGCAGCUUGCUUUGUUGAUUUCCAGGGUAUAGACAAAGUCUUUGGAAACAAUGGCAGCUAACGACAACUGUAGUACUAUUGCUUUUCCUUUCAGUCCUAUCUUUAUGUGAAUAAGAGCAAUUGGGUGCAUGUUAAAAAAAGAAAAAUGUCGACAAAAGCAUUGCUCUUUACUCAUCUUACUCAAGUAAUCAGCAUAGAUUUGCUAAGUGGUUCAGUGAACAUUCGUCCCUCCUUCCUGUUAUGAGCAGUCAGCUCAGCUUUCCUGCCUACACUAUAUCACAGCCCCAUGGUCCUGCUGCUCUCCUUGUCUCCAUACCAGCUACUUGCUCCCUUCCUGGACAGUCGAUCCUGCUCUCUACAGCCAGUCUCUUUGAAGUUAAUUACUCCUGUCCUGAAAGAAGAUUCUACUGAAAAUGAAAGAAAAAAGAUACGAAGUUUAAAAAAUGGAAGCUGUAUGACGCAGUAGUCAAAAGAAAUGGAGAUAAAUGCUGACCUGUAAACAUUUAACAACCAGAGCAUUAAUCAAAUGAUGUAAGGUCAUCAAUUCUCUUCUAAGACUGACCACAGAGCAAUGAAUAACAGAUGCAUCAUCUUCCACAUGUAAAGACUGAAAUCCAGAUUCUGAUUUGACUCUCACCCUUUUGGUCAGAGUCCUACACUUCACUGAAGUCUCUGAAAAUGCCAGAUGAGUUGUAAAAGGGAAGCAGAACUCUUCAGAGAUGAAACGGUUACCAGUCCUGCCCUUCUGUGCAUUCAGUAUUUGAAAAGAGCAACUUCGCCUUCCCCUAUAAGAACAGCUGAAGAUACUACAAAAUAAGAAGUCAUCUGAGAAAAUAAGUUGUGUGGAUUAGAGCUCAUUGCCGGUGUGUUUGUACAGAACACGACAAGGCUCCACCAUCUGGGACCACGUCCUCAUAGCCAACACCAAACUAGAAAAGAAAGGGCACGGAACAGAGGGCACACUGACCCAAGCUGGAAGGACUGAAACAGAGACCACCCAUCUCAGUAGAGCACUGGAUACACCAAAUCUUGGCAGCCUGAGGAAGAGGAGCUGCAGGCCUGAAACCACGGACUUGGAUAAAUAAAUGACAGAUACAUGACAAUGGAAUAUAAAAUGGACAUCUUCGUAUAGAUUACUUUCCUUGACAUCACAUAAAUCAUAGCUUUCUAUGGAAGAUGAGUCAUUUCCUGUCUAGUCUUAAUUAAAAAUAACACUGGAUAUUAUUUCACCGUCGCCCUAAGAGAGAAGAAAAGCAAGGCUGGAACUUGUCUGAGACUCACAGUCUGAGGCUUGCCUUUAAUACCAGGCAGAAGGUAACAAACCGUUUUGUGGGAAUGUCCCUGCUUAAUGAUGACUUCUGAGGUAUUUGCUGAGCAGUUGGGAAAAACAGAACGAAAAUGUCUCCCAGUCCAUGCCAACCAGGACAGGAGAGGAGGCUGGGAUAGCUGCAUCCCUGACCACAGGGGCUCCAAAGAUGACAUCCACCUAUUCAAGACCACACAGGUGCUGCUUAGUGCCUUUUAAGCACAGACAGCUGAGCUCUAGACAUCCUGUUUUCAUCUUCUGGGAAAGAAGUUGCAAUGAAUCAACCACAAAAAGUCUGUUCAUGCACAGUUCGAGGAGGUCUCAAGUUCUGAGCUCACCUACUUCUUUUUGUUUUCAGUUUUUGCCAAGCAUUUUGCUAAGUGUUUUGAAGUGGAAAUUCAGAUUCUCCUUCUACCAGGUCUGCUUUUCUUCAUUUUGGUAAAAACUGAAGCAAACUGAAAGCUAAUUAUUUCCUGCUUCAACCAGCUAAUUAUUUCCUGCUUCAAGCACAAUAGAGUGUUUAUUGGAAUGUUCCCUAUAAUCCCACCAGAAAUUUUAUAGGACUUCAGUAAUACACCAGCUUCAAAUUAAUUACAUGCAGCUCUUUAUAUAGACAGAUCAUUCUGGAAACUGUCUGUUUCUUUUUUUUUCCUCCUCCUGCAUCAACAACAAAGCAGGAAGCAGGUAUUCACUGGAGUUUCAUACAAAACUUUGUGAUUGCAUAA
This is a long non-coding RNA of Cuculus canorus (common cuckoo), 2328 nucleotides long. RefSeq lists it as uncharacterized. Lineage: Eukaryota; Metazoa; Chordata; Aves; Cuculiformes; Cuculidae. The record is from RefSeq and is a predicted model, not a curated record. The transcript has 4 exons.